This 353-nucleotide transfer-messenger RNA is filed under the name Erysipelotrichia bacterium. It matches the Rfam family "transfer-messenger RNA". From Rfam's summary of the family: Bacterial tmRNA, also known as 10Sa RNA or SsrA, is named for its dual tRNA and mRNA-like properties. Its role is to liberate the mRNA from a stalled ribosome. The record is from RNAcentral. Lineage: Bacteria; Bacillati; Bacillota; Erysipelotrichia.
GGGGGCGUUUUUGGCAUUCGACAGGGCGUAGUUGGAUUCGGAUAGCAGUGGGGUGGUUUUCCUCGUAAACCAAAAUUAAAAAUAACUGACAAUCGUCAAUUAUCAUUUGCUGCCUAAUUAAGCGAUAUUGCUUUGCAGCCUCAACCUUAAUUACUCCAUUGGGUUAGGGAUUGGUGUAAGAUACACUGGAUAGGUCGAUAAGAUGCUCAAUAAUUGAGACCGAAAUUGAUUGAGAAAACGCAAAUAUUGACUGUUUGUCAUCAAAUUUGUUGUUAUAUUUGAUAAACUAAACUGUAGAAGUCUGAAUGUGGGACACGUUUUGGACAGGGGUUCGAAUCCCCUCGUCUCCACCA